GGGGCUAUAGCUCAGCUGGGAGAGCGCCUGCCUUGCACGCAGGAGGUCAGCGGUUCGGUCCCGCUUAGCUCCA
RNAcentral lists this transfer RNA (73 nucleotides) under Proteus vulgaris. RNAcentral describes it as "tRNA-Ala". It matches the Rfam family "tRNA". Rfam says of the family: Transfer RNA (tRNA) molecules are approximately 80 nucleotides in length. Their secondary structure includes four short double-helical elements and three loops (D, anti-codon, and T loops). The record is from RNAcentral. Lineage: Bacteria; Pseudomonadati; Pseudomonadota; Gammaproteobacteria; Enterobacterales; Morganellaceae.